This is a long non-coding RNA of Amphiprion ocellaris (clown anemonefish), 331 nucleotides long. The record is from Ensembl. Lineage: Eukaryota; Metazoa; Chordata; Actinopteri; Pomacentridae.
CAAACUCUCAGUCAGGGCAGCUGGGAUUUAAUGUGACCAGUUUGUUGGAAAUUAGAGCUUCUGUUGGCAGCUACUGUUUCAGUGAGGAGUUACCGGUCUUGGUGAAGACUGUGGCUCCUGUUAGCAGCUGAAUAAUCUGGAAAAGCCUUGCCGGAGAAAGAACCAGACAUGAGUCAACUUUUCAUCUCUGUUAACCACCAACAUGCUGCAUUCAGGGACACGAGCCACAUUCAUUUUGUCCUCCAGUGAUGCCUCGGGAAGCUCUGAGAAUUUGACUCCACUAACUUCAUUGCAUCUUGUUUGAAGAAUGAAAUGCAGUUGCCAUAGCAAC